Naegleria gruberi is the source of this 71-nucleotide transfer RNA. It matches the Rfam family "tRNA". From Rfam's summary of the family: Transfer RNA (tRNA) molecules are approximately 80 nucleotides in length. Their secondary structure includes four short double-helical elements and three loops (D, anti-codon, and T loops). NCBI's taxonomy places the organism in Eukaryota, Heterolobosea, Eutetramitea, Acrasida, Naegleriidae. The record is from Rfam.
GCAUUAGUAGUGUAACGGUAUCAUACCAGCCUUCCAAGCUGGUGACCCGGGUUCGACUCCCGGCUAAUGCA